Molecule: long non-coding RNA, 377 nt
Filed under: Physcomitrium patens
Lineage: Eukaryota; Viridiplantae; Streptophyta; Bryopsida; Funariales; Funariaceae
Description: long non-coding RNA (PPAT_LNC011142)
Source: RNAcentral
AUACGAUAUAUUUUAAACCUCUUAUAGAGCAAAAAAUGACUCAUCGUCGUCAGGAAGGAUUAUGCUUAUAUUAUGGAGAACCUUAGCACACUGCUCAACAUUGCCAAAAAAAGUGACGCAACCAUAAAAUGAGGAGUAUGGCAAUCAAAGAAGAUAGCAUAUCAGAAAACCAAUUUGUUCAGCUACAAUAGGGAUUAUGCGGCUAGAACCUUGUACAACGCCUAGUGAAGGUCCUAUUCUCUCCUCAAAACCCUCUCCAUGUUUUAUAAUAAAUGUUAUUCUAGGACCUAAACAUUACAAAGCCUCUGCCUUGCUAGAUUCAAGAGUCUCAACAUGUUUUUUAGAUGAAGAAUUUGCUAAAAGACAUAACAUAUUUU